RNAcentral lists this ribosomal RNA (253 nucleotides) under uncultured bacterium. Its description in RNAcentral is "partial 16S ribosomal RNA". It matches the Rfam family "Bacterial small subunit ribosomal RNA", at positions 524 to 776 of the family's 1533-position model. The record is from RNAcentral.
GACGAACCGUGCAAACGUUGUUCGGAAUCACUGGGCUUAAAGGGCGCGUAGGCGGGCCGGAAAGUCUGUGGUGAAAGCCUCCAGCUUAACUGGAGAAGUGUCAUGGAUACUGCCGGUCUGGAGGAGGGUAGGGGCAUCUGGAACGCUGGGUGGAGCGGUGAAAUGCGCAGAUAUCAGGAGGAACACCGGUGGCGAAGGCGGCUUGCUGGGCCUUACCUGACGCUGAGGAGCGAAAGCGUGGGGAGCGAACAGG